GUGCUUACUUCCCCAGCACAUAUACUAAAAUUGCAACCAUACCUACAAGAUUAACAUGGCCCCUGCACAAGGAUGACAUGCAAAUUUGUGAAGUGUUCCAUAUUUAA
This 107-nucleotide small nuclear RNA is filed under the name Vicugna pacos (alpaca). The record is from RNAcentral. Lineage: Eukaryota; Metazoa; Chordata; Mammalia; Artiodactyla; Camelidae.